This 465-nucleotide ribosomal RNA is filed under the name uncultured bacterium. RNAcentral's name for it is "partial 16S ribosomal RNA". It matches the Rfam family "Bacterial small subunit ribosomal RNA", at positions 28 to 507 of the family's 1533-position model. The record is from RNAcentral.
GACGAACGCUGGCGGCGUGCUUAACACAUGCAAGUCGAACGGAAAGGCCCUGCUUGCCGGGUACUCGAGUGGCGAACGGGUGAGUAACACGUGGGUGAUCUGCCCUGCACUUCGGGAUAAGCCUGGGAAACUGGGUCUAAUACCGGAUAGGAGCCAUUUUUAGUGUGAUGGUUGGAAAGUUUUUUCGGUGUAGGAUGAGCUCGCAGCCUAUCAGCUUGUUGGUGGGGUAAUGGCCUACCAAGGCGGCGACGGGUAGCCGGCCUGAGAGGGUGGACGGCCACAUUGGGACUGAGAUACGGCCCAGACUCCUACGGGAGGCAGCAGUGGGGAAUAUUGCACAAUGGGCGCAAGCCUGAUGCAGCGACGCCGCGUGGGGGAUGACGGCCUUCGGGUUGUAAACGCCUUUCGCUAGGGACGAAGCUUUUUGUGACGGUACCUAGAGAAGAAGCACCGGCUAACUACGUG